UGGGGAAUAUUGGACAAUGGGCGAAAGCCUGAUCCAGCCAUGCCGCGUGAGUGACGAAGGCCUUAGGGUUGUAAAACUCUUUCGUCGGGGACGAUAAUGACGGUACCCGAAGAAGAAGCUCCGGCUAACUUCGUGCCAGCAGCCGCGGUAAUACGAAGGGAGCUAGCGUUGUUCGGAAUCACUGGGCGUAAAGCGCACGUAGGCGGAUAGUUAAGUCAGGGGUGAAAUCCUGGGGCUCAACCCCAGAACCGCCUUUGAUACUGGCUGUCUCGAGGUCGAGAGAGGUUGGUGGAAUUCCUAGUGUAGAGGUGAAAUUCGUAGAUAUUGGGAAGAACACCAGUGGCGAAGGCGGCUAACUGGUCCGGUACUGACGCUGAGGUGCGAAAGCGUGGGGAGCAAACAGGAUUAGAUACCCUAGUAGUCCCUGAGCGGGCUGGCAAGGCGCAU
This 447-nucleotide ribosomal RNA is filed under the name uncultured bacterium. RNAcentral's name for it is "bacterial SSU rRNA". It matches the Rfam family "Bacterial small subunit ribosomal RNA", at positions 355 to 825 of the family's 1533-position model. The record is from RNAcentral.